This 3267-nucleotide long non-coding RNA is filed under the name Homo sapiens (human). RNAcentral's name for it is "HSALNT0032200". The record is from RNAcentral. Lineage: Eukaryota; Metazoa; Chordata; Mammalia; Primates; Hominidae.
CCUACGACCUCAGGUCCUCAGACCGACCAGCCGAAGAAACAUCUCACCAAUUUCAAAUCCGACCCAUGUGACCUCUCCCCUCCUCACCAGCCCAAGCUAGGUCCCAAUUCUUCCUCAGCCUCCGCUCUUGCACCCUGUAAUCUUUUUAUCGCCUCCCCUCCUCACACCUGGUCAGGCUUACAGUUUCGUUCCGUGACUAGCCCUCCCCCACCUGCCCAGCAAUUCACUCUUAAAAAGGUGGCUGGAGCCAAAGGUAUAGUCAAGGUUAAUGCUCCUUUUUCCUUAUCCCAAAUCAGAUAGCGUUUAGGCUCUUUUUCAUCAAAUAUAAAAAUCCAGCCCAGUUCAUGGCUUGUUUGGCAGCAACCCUGAGAUACUUUACAGCCCUAGACCCUAAAAGGUCAAGUGCCAUCUUAUUCUCAAUAUACAUUUUAUUACCCAAUCUGCUCCCGACAUUAAAUAAAACUCCAAAAAUUAAAUUCCGGCCCUCAAACCCCACAACAGGAUUUAAUUAACCUCGCCUUCAAGGUGUACAAUAAUAGAAAAAAGUUGCAAUUCCUUGCCCCCACUGUGAGACAAACCCCAGCCACAUCUCCAGCACACAAGAACUUCCAAACGCCUGAACUGAGUUCCUCCAGAACCUCCUUCCCCAGGAGCUUGCUACAAGUGCCAGAAAUCUGACCACCAGGCCAAGGAAUGCCUGUAGCCCAGGAUUCCUUCUAAGCUGUGUCCCAUCUGUGCGGGACCCCACUGGAAACUGGACUGUUCAACUCACCUGGCAGCCACUCCCAGAGCCCCUGGAACUCUGGCCCAAGGCUCUCUGACUGACUCCUUCUCGGCUUAGCGGCUGAAGACUGUUGCUGCCCGAUCGCCUCGGAAGCCCCGUAGACCAUCACGGACGCCGAGCUUCCAGUAACUCACAGUGAAAGCUUGUUUAAUGAAGCUAGCUUCAAUGCUGUGAGCUGCUCUAUAGACGCCCAUGUAGGAGGAAACUCAAGGGGCCCCCAGCCACUAGCCAUUGAGGAACUGAGGCCCUCAAUCCAACAACCCACAAGGAACUGAAUCCUGCCAACAACCACUGAGUGAGCCUGGAAGCGGAUCCUGCCCAGCUGAAACUCGAGAAGAUUGUAGCUCUGCUGCCCUGACCACUAUUCUAACUGCACCCUUGAGAGAGACCCUCAGCCAGCUAAUCUGUACCUGGAUUCCUAACCUGGAGAAACUGAAAUAGCAACGCAUGUUGAUGUAAGUGCUAAGUUUGGGAGUAAUUUGUUAUGUAACAAUAAAUAACUAAUAAUACUUAUUAUUUAGGCAAUAAAACCAUAGAAAAUACUUCUCAGGGAUGUUUUCUCCAUAAGAUAAUCAGAUUUUAAAUCAUCAAGUUCUAUACAGAUGUAUAUUAUCAUUUGUUUUCUACCCAGUAAAUAGGUUCCUCUCCUAAACACUCCACUUGCUCCCUUUGACCAGCCAGAGGAAGUUCUGCCUUCCUCCAAAUGACCCAUCAAUAUAUUUGUCUGGAGUUUUUAUUUCUGUCACAAUUCUGUUUCACCACUUGGGUUUGUUGUGCCUACGCUGUGGGCAGGACCACCUCACAGAAGACAAUGGGUGGGCGAUGGUGAGAAGUGAGUUGAGGGUGCAAAAGGAUACUAUAUCACGGGACUCCCAAAUCACUAAGCCAAAGAAAAAGGUCAAGCUGGGAACUGCUUAGGGCAAACCUGCCUCCCAUUCUAUUCCUCAAAAAGAUAGCUACUAACAUAAAAAAAGCUACAUACCUCCCUCACAAUUUGUCUACAAGGAAAUUCCUUGUGGACAAAUGACAGACAGAUGUCAAAGUCAUCCCUCUGCUCACUGAGAUAAAUGCAUAUCUGAUUGCUUCCCUGGGAAAGGCUAAUCAGACACUCAAAAGAAUGCAACCAUUUGUCUCUUCUGUACCUAUGACCUGGAAACCCCCUUCCUGCUGCGAGUUGUCCCACCUUUCCAAACCAAGCCAAUGUAAAUCUUGCGUAUAUUGAUUGAUGUCUAACGUCUCCCUAAAAUGUAUAAAACCGAGCUGCGCCCCGACCAUCUUGGGCACAUGUCACUAAGACCUCCUGAGGCUGUGUCAUGGGUGUGUUCUUAACCUUGGCAAAAUAAACUUUCUAAUGCAAGUCGAAACCACAGUGAGAUACCAUCUCACACCAGUUAGAAUGGCGAUCAUUAAAAAGUCAGGAAACAACAGGUGCUGGAGAGGAUGUGGAGAAAUAGGAACACUUUUACACGGUUGGUGGGACCGUAAGCUAGAUCAACCAUUGUGGAAGUCAGUGUGGUGAUUCCUCAGGGAUCUAGAACUAGAAAUGCCAUUUGACCCAGCCAUCCCAUUACUGGGUAUAUACCCAAAGGAUUAUAAAACAUGCUGCUAUAAAGACACAUGCACACGUAUGUUUAUUGUGGCACUAUUCACAAUAGCAAAGACUUGGAACCAACCCAAAUGUCCAACAAUGAUAGACUGGAUUAAGAAAAUGUGGCACAUAUACACCAUGGAAUACUAUGCAGCCGUAAAAAAGGAUGAGUUCAUGUCCUUUGUAGGGACAUAGAUGAAGCUGGAAACCAUCAUUCUCAGCAAACUAUGGCAAGGACAAAAAACCAAACACCACAUGUUCUCACUCAUAGGUGGGAAUUGAACAAUGAGAACACAUGGACGCAGGAAGGGGAACAUCACACUCUGGGGCCUGUUGUGGGGUGGGGGGAGGGGGGAGGGAUAGCAUUGGGAGAUAUACCUGAUGUUAAAUGAUGAGUUAAUGGGUGCAGCACACCAACAUGGCACAUGUAUACAUAUGUAACAAACCUGCACAUUGUGCACAUGAACCCUAAAACUUAAAGUAUAAUAAAAAAAAUAAAAAAAUAAACUUUCUAAAUUAAUUGAGACCUGUCUCAGAUACUUUUUGGGUUACAAGGGUAAAGGAAGGCUGCCCCCCAAAACUAUUCUUACCCAGCUUUUGUCACUGACAAACUCCUACCAGUAUAAUAGGGAUAAGAAUCAUAAUAACAACUACUACCAAUUUUUGAGCAACUUCUUUGUGCCAGGAACUUUGCAAAUAUUCUUUCAGAUCCUCACCACAACCCUGGGGAAAAAAAUCCAGAGAGUUUAAACCACUUAGUCAAUGGUAGGCAGUUAGCACAUGUCAGAGCUGAGGUUAGAACAAAACUCCUCUCUCUUGUAUUUGCUUAUUUCUUAUCUUCUAGGGCUGUGUGCCUAAACAAACUAUUUUCAAUAAAGUUAGAAUUUAUUGGUUU